GAGAGUAUAGCUCAGUGGUAGAGCACAAGUUUAGGAUGCUUGAGGUCCUGGGUUCAAUUCCCAGUACCUGCA
Camelus ferus (Wild Bactrian camel) is the source of this 72-nucleotide transfer RNA. It matches the Rfam family "tRNA". Rfam says of the family: Transfer RNA (tRNA) molecules are approximately 80 nucleotides in length. Their secondary structure includes four short double-helical elements and three loops (D, anti-codon, and T loops). Further hydrogen bonds mediate the characteristic L-shaped molecular structure. tRNAs have two regions of fundamental functional importance: the anti-codon, which is responsible for specific mRNA codon recognition, and the 3' end, to which the tRNAs corresponding amino acid is attached (by aminoacyl-tRNA synthetases). tRNAs cope with the degeneracy of the genetic code in two manners: having more than one tRNA (with a specific anti-codon) for a particular amino acid; and 'wobble' base-pairing, i.e. permitting non-standard base-pairing at the 3rd anti-codon position. The record is from Rfam. NCBI's taxonomy places the organism in Eukaryota, Metazoa, Chordata, Mammalia, Artiodactyla, Camelidae.